Zea mays is the source of this 138-nucleotide non-coding RNA. Lineage: Eukaryota; Viridiplantae; Streptophyta; Magnoliopsida; Poales; Poaceae. The record is from Rfam.
CCCCUUGACGAUGAAGACCUUGUUUAGUACAUACUUGCUGGAUUAGACGAAGACUUCGAUUCUGUUGUUAAUUUUUUCCUUGUUCGAGCAAAACCAAUUACGGUUAGCGAAUUACUGCACAUAUGUUAUCUUUUGAGU